GACGAACGCUGGCGGCGUGCUUAACACAUGCAAGUCGAACGGAAAGGCCCUUUCGGGGGUGCUCGAGUGGCGAACGGGUGAGUAACACGUGGGUGAUCUGCCCUGCACUCUGGGAUAAGCCUGGGAAACUGGGUCUAAUACCGGAUAGGACCAUGGGAUGCAUGUUCUGUGGUGGAAAGCUUUUGCGGUGUGGGAUGGGCCCGCGGCCUAUCAGCUUGUUGGUGGGGUGAUGGCCUACCAAGGCGACGACGGGUAGCCGGCCUGAGAGGGUGUCCGGCCACACUGGGACUGAGAUACGGCCCAGACUCCUACGGGAGGCAGCAGUGGGGAAUAUUGCACAAUGGGCGCAAGCCUGAUGCAGCGACGCCGCGUGGGGGAUGACGGCCUUCGGGUUGUAAACCUCUUUCAGUAUCGGCGAAGCUUGCGGGUUUUCUCGCAGGUGACGGUAGGUACAGAAGAAGCACCGGCCAACUACGUGC
RNAcentral lists this ribosomal RNA (479 nucleotides) under Mycobacterium kumamotonense. Its description in RNAcentral is "Mycolicibacter kumamotonensis bacterial SSU rRNA". It matches the Rfam family "Bacterial small subunit ribosomal RNA", at positions 28 to 508 of the family's 1533-position model. The record is from RNAcentral. Lineage: Bacteria; Bacillati; Actinomycetota; Actinomycetes; Mycobacteriales; Mycobacteriaceae.